AGUGGCGGACGGGUGAGUAAUGUAUAGUUAAUCUGCCCUUUAGAGGGGGAUAACAGUCGGAAACGACUGCUAAUACCCCAUACUCCUUUUAUCUUAAUGGUAAUUGGGAAACGUUUUUUCGCUAAAGGAUGAGACUAUAUGGUAUCAGGUAGUUGGUGGGGUAAGAGCCUACCAAGCCAAUGACGCCUAGCUGGUCUGAGAGGAUGAUCAGCCACACUGGAACUGAGACACGGUCCAG
This 238-nucleotide ribosomal RNA is filed under the name uncultured bacterium. Its description in RNAcentral is "partial 16S ribosomal RNA". It matches the Rfam family "Bacterial small subunit ribosomal RNA", at positions 94 to 334 of the family's 1533-position model. The record is from RNAcentral.